AUUUUAUCUAAGUGGUGAGACGUAGGACAUUAGGACCACGUUUGCUGUGAUUCAUUCGUUUGGCUGCUACUGCAGCAGUUGUGCAAGCAACCAUCCUAGAGCACUUUAUACUGUGUUUCCCAAGGAAUUUGUAAGAUAAACCAUGUAAAGAAACUCACCUUGGCAGCUCAAAUUUUGCUCAGUUCCUGCUCUGUGCUUUUGAAACCCACAAAGCCAGCUAACAGAGCAUAAUUCUGAAGGAAUCCAAAUUCUGUACUCUUGGUUAAGCACUGGCCUGAUCCUGUCAUCUCCCAGGCUGACUUGCCAGUUUCUAUUAUGCCAAACCCCUGCUAGAAAGCAAGCUUAACAGGAGGCUGAGUGCUUUAAAUGUUGGGUGAAUGCAACCCCUGGAUAAGUUAUUCACACUGCACACCUGGUGGUAUGCUGAGCCUGAAAAAGAAUGGUCUGCUGUGAUGUCGGGCUGUGAGCUGAUCCACCUGCAAGCCGUGCUAGGAGAAGGCAGAGAAAGGACAGCGCUGGAUGUGGUCACUUCCCCACCAUAAACAGCGAAGGCUCUUAAUUUCUGCAGAGCACUCAGUCUAGAGGAGUCAGCACACUCCCACUUUACUCCAGACCUCAAAUGCUGACAGGUACCACCAGGGCCUGGAAUAGCUGUAAGUGGAAAGUGAAUUCUCGGUAUUCAUAUGUAAAUCGAAAUAAC
RNAcentral lists this long non-coding RNA (700 nucleotides) under Anas platyrhynchos platyrhynchos (common mallard). RNAcentral's name for it is "lncRNA (ENSAPLG00000030097.1)". The record is from RNAcentral. Lineage: Eukaryota; Metazoa; Chordata; Aves; Anseriformes; Anatidae.